UCAUUUCUGCUCGGUUCUGUCCUCUUCCGUGUAGAUGAUACUUUGCACCCCAUCUUACUGGUUGUAAGAAAACAUUAUUGCACUGCUUUCUAUCCGUUUGCGUUUGUUCCUCGAAGUCAUGUGACCUGAAGUUACAGGUGACGCACCUUGUUAUUUCCUUGACAGAUCAGCAUAUAUCAGCAAUCUUCACACAAGCGAAGAUAUUUGCAAUACCAUACAAUUUUCUCGCAGUGGAAAGACUCAAAUGCUAAAAUGAAUGUCCACCUGAAGGUGAACGGACCCCGAGGAGAAGAAAAGAUCCUGGCUCUGUGCAAACAUGCAGAAGAUUUCAAGAGAUUUACUGUACUGCAGCUAAAACAGAAAAUUUUGGAACGAUUCAAGAUAGAUAAUGACAUCCGGAUGGUGUUCCAAACCGAGCGGCUGGAAGAAUCCUCCCUGGUGUCAAAAUACGGGAUCAAACACAUGAGUACCAUCCAUACCCUGCUGAUGCUGCCUGGAGGCAUGAAGGGAUGAAGACUCGUCGCACAGAGAUUCUAAACAGACAGACAACAUGACACCAUUAAUUACCUGGG
This is a long non-coding RNA of Eleginops maclovinus (Patagonian blennie), 572 nucleotides long. RefSeq lists it as uncharacterized. The transcript is spliced from 2 exons. The record is from RefSeq and is a predicted model, not a curated record. Lineage: Eukaryota; Metazoa; Chordata; Actinopteri; Perciformes; Eleginopidae.